GUGGACUAUAAAAACGUCUUGUGGUGCUCACCUGACUCAGAUGUUGUGCUUUGACCAUCCUGAUGUUUGCUCUGUGGACUUCCGCAAAAAUGUCCCUACGGUGUCUCACACUGUUCCUGCUCUUCGCUCUUGUCACAGUGUGUCUGGCAGCUCCACUGCCUGACAGAAGCGCAGUGCUGCUUGCUCAUCUUGAUGGAAAAGCGGCAGCACAACAUGUGACAUCACCGCCAGCUCCUGAGUCACAUGACACGUCACAUUCCCCAGAUUUUGACGACUCCCAAGAGGAAACCGAAGCAAAACCAAACGUUCAGGACAACAACCAAGCAGAACUUGAAGGUGCACCUGACCCUACGGAUUCAGUUCCAGAAUAUGUAGAAUCACCAGAGUCUGUGGCAUCACCAGAAUCCUUGGAAUCACCAGAGUCUGCAGAAUCACCAGCGUCCUUGAAUUCACCAGAGUCUGUAGACUCAUCAGAGUCCUUGGAAUCACCAGAGUCUGUAGAAUCACCAAAGUCUGUGGAAUCGCCAGAGUCAGAGGAAUCACCAGAGUCUGUAGAAUCACCAAAGUCUGCGGACUCACCAGAGUCCGAGGAAUCACCAGAGUUUGUGAAAACAUCAGAGUCCCCAGAAUCACUAGAGUCUGCAGAAUCCCCAGAGUCCUCAGAGUCCUUAGAGUCACAAGAUUCCGCAGAAUCACCAAAGGCUAUAGACUCCAGAAUCAUCCCAGAAUCAUCCGAGUCACUGGAAUUGCCUAAAUCCCUAGUGUUACCAUCAGAGUCGAGUUCUGAGGCGGAUGAGGACAACAGGGAGACGAGCAACGAAUCGGAGCCUGAGACUGAUGCAACCACAUCUGACAUGGCUGAUAACGGUGAUGCGAGUGACAUGCUUGAUUUAGAGGAGGGUGGAGAGGUGGGGCUUGAGGUGGUAGAUGAGGAUGAGAUACAGGUGGAAGAAGGAAGAGCGAUACCAGAACUAGAUUUGUCUGAGGAGCCACAGCUGAUGCAAGGGGCCUCAGAUGUGAUCAUAGAAGGAGAAGAAAACUCUCCAAAGGAUGGAAAUGCUGACAGCAGCAGAGGCACCAUGGACCAGGAAGAGAAUAUGGAGGAGCAGAAUGUUCAAGAACCUGAAGAGAGCUUUGACUCCACUGAAGCAACUCUUAUUGAGCAGGCAGACCCAACCCCCCCUCUGCCGGCGCAAAUGAAGUGAAGUAGAAGUUGGUAGUGUGGUUAAGCAGGUAAUGUUCCACGUUCCAUGUUCCGGGUGAAUACGCAAGCAUGGGACAGCCCGAGUGGAAUCCCUGCCAACUGCACUGUCUUUCUGCAUGCUUUUAUUUGCUGUGUUUGAUGACGCUGCAUGUACAUACAGUAUAUUCCCUGCUACUGCUCCUAGUCAAAGUCAUGUAGGCAGAGAAACUGAUCACCUAAUAAACGUUCAUUCCACAA
Molecule: RNA transcript, 1441 nt
Organism: Doryrhamphus excisus (bluestripe pipefish)
Lineage: Eukaryota; Metazoa; Chordata; Actinopteri; Syngnathiformes; Syngnathidae
Source: RefSeq, a predicted model, not a curated record